CACAAAGGUUUGGUCCUAGCCUUGAAGUCAACUAUUUCUUAACUUACACAUGCAAGUAUCCGCACACCCGUGAAAACGCCCUUCCACCCUACAGGGUCAAGGAGCUGAUAUCAGGCACAAAUCGCCCAAAACAUCUAGCCAUGCCACGCCCACAAGGGCCCUCAGCAGUGAUUAACCUUAAAAAUAAACGUCAGUUUGACUUAGUUAGCGAAAAUAGAGCCGGCCAAUCUGGUGCCAGCCGCCGCGGUUACACCAUGUGGCUCAAAUUGACUCCUGACGGCGUAAAGAGUGAUUAAAGAGAAAGAAAAUUAUGAGGUUAAACUUGAACUAAGCUGUAGUACGCCUGUUCCUAAGAAAACCACGAUUCGAAAGACACCCCAGAUCACCAACUUGAAUUCACAACAACUGGAGUACAAACUGGGAUUAGAUACCCCACUAUGUCCAGUCGUAAACUUUAACUUACACCCUAUCGCCAGGGAACUACGAGCAAAGCUUAAAACCCAAAGGACUUGACGGUACCCCACAUCCACCUAGAGGAGCCUGUCCUAUAACCGAUACCCCCCGUUUUACCUCACCACUUUUAGCUUUUCAGCCUGUAUACUUCCGUCGUCAGCUUACCGCAUGAGCGAAAUAAGUAAGCCUAAUGUUACCCAUCAAUACGUCAGGUCAAAGUGCAGCAAAUAUAGUGGCAAGAGAUGGGCUACACUCUCUAUCAUAGAAGAUACAAAAGACUAUGUGAAACCAUGCUCAGAAGGCGGAUUUAGUAGUAAGAAGGCAAUAGAAUACCCUUCUUAACCCGGCACUGGGGUGUGUACACACCGCCCGUCACCCUCUUCAACUUUUACCCACCAGUACCUAACAACUACUCACCCAAUAGAAGAGGCAAGUC
Molecule: non-coding RNA, 889 nt
Filed under: Pristimantis wiensi (Wiens' robber frog)
Lineage: Eukaryota; Metazoa; Chordata; Amphibia; Anura; Strabomantidae
Description: partial 12S ribosomal RNA
Rfam family: Bacterial small subunit ribosomal RNA
Source: RNAcentral